RNAcentral lists this unclassified non-coding RNA (345 nucleotides) under soil metagenome. RNAcentral's name for it is "partial contains 5.8S ribosomal RNA, internal transcribed spacer 2, and large subunit ribosomal RNA". The stretch from base 1 to 119 matches the Rfam family "5.8S ribosomal RNA", at positions 35 to 154 of the family's 154-position model. The record is from RNAcentral.
GAUGAAGAACGUAGCGAAAUGCGAUACGUAAUGUGAAUUGCAAAUUCAGUGAAUCAUCGAGUCUUUGAACGCACAUUGCGCCCCCUGGUAUUCCGGGGGGCAUGCCUGUCCGAGCGUCAUUGCUGCCCUCAAGCACGGCUUGUGUGUUGGGCCCCGUCCUCCGAUCCCGGGGGACGGGUCCGAAAGGCAGCGGCGGCACCGCGUCCGGUCCUCGAGCGUAUGGGGCUUUGUCACCCGCUCUGUAGGCCCGGCCGGCGCUUGCCGAUCAACCCAAAUUUUUAUCCAGGUUGACCUCGGAUCAGGUAGGGAUACCCGCUGAACUUAAGCAUAUCAAUAAGCGGAGGA